CCUAACGGUUAAUACCCGUUAGCGAUGACAUUAGCUGCAGAAUAAGCACCGGCUAACUCUGUGCCAGCAGCCGCGGUAAUACAGAGGGUGCAAGCGUUAAUCGGAAUUACUGGGCGUAAAGCGAGCGUAGGUGGCUUGAUAAGUCAGAUGUGAAAUCCCCGGGCUUAACCUGGGAACUGCAUCUGAAACUGUUAGACUAGAGUAGGUGAGAGGGAAGUAGAAUUUCAGGUGUAGCGGUGAAAUGCGUAGAGAUCUGAAGGAAUACCGAUGGCGAAGGCAGCUUCCUGGCAUCAUACUGACACUGAGGCUCGAAAGCGUGGGUAGCAAACAGGAUUAGAUACCCUGGUAGUCCACGCCGUAAACGAUGUC
Molecule: ribosomal RNA, 369 nt
Filed under: uncultured Psychrobacter sp.
Lineage: Bacteria; Pseudomonadati; Pseudomonadota; Gammaproteobacteria; Moraxellales; Moraxellaceae
Description: bacterial SSU rRNA
Rfam family: Bacterial small subunit ribosomal RNA
Source: RNAcentral